RNAcentral lists this long non-coding RNA (528 nucleotides) under Canis lupus familiaris (dog). RNAcentral's name for it is "lncRNA (ENSCAFG00040021845.1)". Lineage: Eukaryota; Metazoa; Chordata; Mammalia; Carnivora; Canidae. The record is from RNAcentral.
UGCUUCAGCCUGCAGGGCAGGGAUGAGGUGAGCAAGCCAGACUGCAGCGAGCUGACCCCCGGGGACAGGAGCCGCAGCCAGACAGAUGCGGGGCUGUGGGGAGACGGACACCAUCACUGCCAGGUCAGGCGGGCCAGGAGCACAGGGCAGAGCAGGUGCCUGAACACCCCCAACACGCUCCCCUUGAUCAGCCAAACCCAUCAGCAACCGGAUCAAGUGGGCUCCAAGACUCCCAUCAGACAGGCUCUGGGGGAAGCAGCACUGGGUCUCCGAGGACCUGGCCCUGAGCGGAGGCUGCCGUCAUCUGUGGAACCUGAUGCUGAAGCUGGCGUCCUGCAAGGAGGCCCCAGAGCCUGGGACACCAUCUGGCAGAGAGGUGCGUGCUACAGAGUGGCAAAUGAGCAGAACCCCCGACGAACCCACUUACCUCCUUUGGCUCUCCUCCGGAAGCCACGAGCUGCGUUUGUGCUGUUUGGGGCUCCUCAUCAGUCGGUGGCAGGUAGGAGAAACCCCUACCUUACUGUCUAG